CGUGUAGGCGGUCUGAUUAGUCUGAUGUGAAAGCCCUGGGCUCAACCCAGGAAGUGCAUUGGAUACUGUCAGACUUGAAUACGGGAGAGGGUAGUGGAAUUCCUAGUGUAGGAGUGAAAUCCGUAGAUAUUAGGAGGAACACCGGUGGCGAAGGCGGCUACCUGGACCGAUAUUGACGCUGAGACGCGAAAGCGUGGGUAGCAAACAGGAUUAGAUACCCUGGUAGUCCACGCCGUAAACGAUGAGUACUAGGUGUUGCGGGUAUUGACCCCUGCAGUGCCGCAGCUAACGCAUUAGGUACUCCGCCUGGGAAGUACGGUCGCAAGACUAAA
RNAcentral lists this ribosomal RNA (332 nucleotides) under uncultured bacterium. Its description in RNAcentral is "bacterial SSU rRNA". It matches the Rfam family "Bacterial small subunit ribosomal RNA", at positions 568 to 898 of the family's 1533-position model. The record is from RNAcentral.